UUCGGGGUGGAUUAGUGGCGAACGGGUGAGUAACACGUGGGCAAUCUGCCCUGCACUCUGGGACAAGCCCUGGAAACGGGGUCUAAUACCGGAUACUGAUCGCCUUGGGCAUCCUUGGUGAUCGAAAGCUCCGGCGGUGCAGGAUGAGCCCGCGGCCUAUCAGCUUGUUGGUGAGGUAAUGGCUCACCAAGGCGACGACGGGUAGCCGGCCUGAGAGGGCGACCGGCCACACUGGGACUGAGACACGGCCCAGACUCCUACGGGAGGCAGCAGUGGGGAAUAUUGCACAAUGGGCGAAAGCCUGAUGCAGCGACGCCGCGUGAGGGAUGACGGCCUUCGGGUUGUAAACCUCUUUCAGCAGGGAAGAAGCGAAAGUGACGGUACCUGCAGAAGAAGCGCCGGCUAACUACGUGCCAGCAGCCGCGGUAAUACGUAGGGCGCGAGCGUUGUCCGGAAUUAUUGGGCGUAAAGAGCUCGUAGGCGGCUUGUCGCGUCGGUUGUGAAAGCCCGGGGCUUAACCCCGGGUCUGCAGUCGAUACGGGCAGGCUAGAGUUCGGUAGGGGAGAUCGGAAUUCCUGGUGUAGCGGUGAAAUGCGCAGAUAUCAGGAGGAACACCGGUGGCGAAGGCGGAUCUCUGGGCCGAUACUGACGCUGA
Molecule: ribosomal RNA, 655 nt
Filed under: Streptomyces thermocarboxydus
Lineage: Bacteria; Bacillati; Actinomycetota; Actinomycetes; Kitasatosporales; Streptomycetaceae
Description: bacterial SSU rRNA
Rfam family: Bacterial small subunit ribosomal RNA
Source: RNAcentral